CACGCGUGCGGGGUCCCCCAGGCCUGCUCCCAGCUGAGGUUCCCAGGGUGUCACAGACAUGGCAGGAGAACAGACAGUUGCAUGGCGGCACUCACGCGGAAGCCCAGCUCCCCAGCAUAGCUGCUGUGGUCAGCUUCACCUUCCUGGAAGGGACAGAAAAAUGGGGAUGAGCUUCUCAGUGGGGCCCCCAGCUCUUCCCUUGGGCUCCCUCACUGCUCCUGCUGUGCCCGCACCCCAACACAGCUGGUACACACUGGGCCCCGGGAGCAGGGCUGGGAGGGAAGCAGAACGUGGCUGCCUCGGUACCAGUGGAGGCCAAACACCACCAGGAGGCCAAGACACUGGGAUGCGCUCCAAAGACCAAUACCAGCGGUGGGGAGCUAUGCAGAGCUCGGGAGGGACGCGGAGGAGCGACUUACGGCUGCCUCCUCAUGCUGGGCUUGUCUCUCCGGCUCCUUGUAGCCCAGUGGAGCAUCGAAGUCCACCUGUGUCCCCAAGAAGAAAGCACGAUGAGACAAGGCCACACUCAGCCUCCGUGGCUUUUCUGUUCUAAGUUGGGACAACUGUGGGUCCACGUGCAGUUGUUGGAGCCGAUACAGAAGGGGCCUUGUACAGUAUGCCCAUUUCCCCAAUGGUCACGUUUUACAAAAUCACAGCAGAACAUCGGCAAAGACAACCCAGCCCUCGUCCAGACGUCCCCAGUUUACACGCACACGCGGGUUUGUGUUUUGUUCUCACAAUUUGUCAUCACUGCAGGCAACCUCACUGCCCUGGACCCCGGCAACCACUCCUCUAAACAGACCCAGACAGAACGGAACCCUUCUGCUGGGCAUCCUUCCCUGAAGACCCAGCACGCUGGGCUGUUGUGCCCACUACUCGGAGCUGAGCAACCUUCCUCAGCCUCCAAGAAGACUCAGCCCCUCGCAGGGCUGAGAUGCUGAUGGAUCUAGCCAUCUCAGAACCAGCAGCAACCCUGCCACCAAUCACAAGCCUCUGGAGCUCCUCUGCCGCGUGGGGAGGCAACGUUUGCUAUUGACAGGCCUGCCAUGUGCUGUUCUUCUCUAAGUGCUGGAUCUCCUCUGCUCAUCUCUCCACGUCUGGUGCUCGGCACCUGUAACUACCCGGCCUGGUGGACACUAAACUCCCUGUAAGCGUGAGCUGUAGGCCAGUUCUGGAACAACUCCACUCAUCUCUUCACAGUAGUUCCGCCCUCCGUUCUCUCCCACUGGGGUUUUCACUGGGCACGUUUGGUUUUCUCAGGAUCUCCCAAACCUCAGCUGCUCACGUUGCUGCCGUGCUUCUCUGUGCAGACACCUAAGUCACUCCUGCAGAUUCAACUUCCCCUUCGCUAAUCCUUUGUUGGCUGUUGUUUAACCCUCUGACUGCUUUUCAAAUAAUCCUGGAUAUUUUGGAUAGACUUUUGCUGCUUGCUAAAUUUUAUGAUUCCAUUAAAAAAUUUUUUUGAACAUUUUUUACAUAGUUAUUUUAUCUUUGCACCUGAAGGUCCCAAUUGUGAUUUCU
Molecule: long non-coding RNA, 1521 nt
Organism: Lagenorhynchus albirostris (white-beaked dolphin)
Lineage: Eukaryota; Metazoa; Chordata; Mammalia; Artiodactyla; Delphinidae
Exons: 3
Source: RefSeq, a predicted model, not a curated record